This 620-nucleotide long non-coding RNA is filed under the name Numida meleagris (helmeted guineafowl). Its description in RNAcentral is "lncRNA (ENSNMEG00000010279.1)". Lineage: Eukaryota; Metazoa; Chordata; Aves; Galliformes; Numididae. The record is from RNAcentral.
GAUUUGUGCAUGUUAGCAAAUGUUCACACAAAUACUGACUAAUUUAUUAUUUCUUCUCUGACAGCCAUCAGAAGUUUUUGUUCCCAGAAGUUUCUUGAAGACAUACAUAACUCAUAAAGCAAAGUCUUGCUAUGGUCUACCUACAAAACUCCCAAACCUGGAGCCUUCAAACAGAUGGAAGAAAAGCAACUUAAUGUCUGCCAAAGAAUGCAGGAAGGAAUAGCUUGAUAAGCCAGAGGAGCAGGCAUAAACAAAGAGACCAUUUGGGCGAUUUUGGUGCCUUUCUGUUACUUUACUCACCUUUUUAUUAAGACUGCAUCUAUGCAGAUCAGUUUCUUCACUUCCAGACUGUAAGCGUGCUGCUCAGCCAAAAUUCUGAUCCUAAUGAAUGUAACUCGACUGCCCUGUCUUUCCUCCUUCCUCAUUUUCAUGAAUGUGUACUUCUAAGCCCCUCUAGCAGACAAUUUACACUUGGAGGGAGAAGAACAUCCCCUGAAGCUGGUAACCUAUCAACCUCAGUUGCAUGUGCAUGUAUAACGCAUCCUGUAAGCUGGUACUAUGAAAUUAGGUGCCCUGUAUGUAAAUCUCCUCUUGAAAUACAGAUGUGCUGUGAGCUGAUG